RNAcentral lists this ribosomal RNA (200 nucleotides) under uncultured bacterium. Its description in RNAcentral is "partial 16S ribosomal RNA". It matches the Rfam family "Archaeal small subunit ribosomal RNA", at positions 474 to 674 of the family's 1478-position model. The record is from RNAcentral. RNAcentral also lists the same sequence under 1 other name.
UACCAGCACCCCGAGUGGUCGGGACGUUUAUUGGGCCUAAAGCAUCCGUAGCCGGUUCUACAAGUCUUCCGUUAAAUCCACCUGCUUAACAGAUGGGCUGCGGAAGAUACUAUAGAGCUAGGAGGCGGGAGAGGCAAGCGGUACUCGAUGGGUAGGGGUAAAAUCCGUUGAUCCAUUGAAGACCACCAGUGGCGAAGGCG